UUCCGGUUGAUCCCGCCGGACCUGACUGCUAUCGGAUUGAUACUAAGCCAUGCGAGUCAUUGUAGCAAUACAAGGCAGACGGCUCAGUAACGCGUAGUCAACCUGCCCUAUGGACGGAAAUAACCUCGGGAAACUGAGUAUAAUGUCCGAUAGAACACUAUACCUGGAAUGGUUUGUGUUCCAAAUGAUUUAUCGCCAUAGGAUGGGACUGCGGCCUAUCAGUUUGUUGGUGAGGUAAUGGCCCACCAAGACUAUUACAGGUACGGGCUCUGAGAGGAGUGGCCCGGAGAUGGGUACUGAGACACGGACCCAGGCCCUAUGGGGCGCAGCAGGCGAGAAAACUUUGCAAUGUGCGAAAGCACGACAAGGUUAAUCCGAGUGGUUUGUGCUAAACGAACCUUUUGUCAGUCCUAGAAACACUAACGAAUAAGGGGUGGGCAAGUUCUGGUGUCAGCCGCCGCGGUAAAACCAGCACCUCAAGUGGUCAGGAUGAUUAUUGGGCCUAAAGCAUCCGUAGCCGGCUCUGUAAGUUUUCGGUUAAAUCUGUACGCUUAACGUACAGGCUGCCGGGAAUACUGCAGAGCUAGGGAGUGGGAGAGGUAGACGGUACUCGGUAGGAAGGGGUAAAUCCUUUGAUCUAUUGAUGACCACCUGUGGCGAAG
RNAcentral lists this ribosomal RNA (662 nucleotides) under uncultured archaeon. RNAcentral's name for it is "bacterial SSU rRNA". It matches the Rfam family "Archaeal small subunit ribosomal RNA", at positions 1 to 671 of the family's 1478-position model. The record is from RNAcentral.